Molecule: ribosomal RNA, 253 nt
Filed under: uncultured bacterium
Lineage: Bacteria
Description: partial 16S ribosomal RNA
Rfam family: Bacterial small subunit ribosomal RNA
Source: RNAcentral
GACAGAGGGUGCAAACGUUGUUCGGAAUUACUGGGCGUAAAGCGCGUGUAGGCGGCUCUGCAAGUCAGGUGUGAAAUCCCACGGCCCAACCAUGGAAGUGCACUUGAAACUGCAGGGCUAGAGUCCUGGAGAGGAAGGUGGAAUGCUUGGUGUAGAGGUGAAAUUCGUAGAUAUCAAGCGGAACACCGGUGGCGAAGGCGGCCUUCUGGACAGUGACUGACGCUGAGACGCGAAAGCGUGGGGAGCAAACAGG